RNAcentral lists this ribosomal RNA (253 nucleotides) under uncultured bacterium. Its description in RNAcentral is "partial 16S ribosomal RNA". It matches the Rfam family "Bacterial small subunit ribosomal RNA", at positions 524 to 776 of the family's 1533-position model. The record is from RNAcentral.
UACAGAGGUCUCAAGCGUUGUUCGGAUUCAUUGGGCGUAAAGGGUGCGUAGGCGGCGAGGUAAGUCAGAUGUGAAAUCCCGGAGCUUAACUCCGGAACUGCAUUUGAUACUGCUUUGCUUGAGGACUGGAGAGGAGAUCGGAAUUCACGGUGUAGCAGUGAAAUGCGUAGAUAUCGUGAGGAAGGCCAGUGGCGAAGGCGGAUCUCUGGACAGUUCCUGACGCUGAGGCACGAAGGCCAGGGGAGCAAACGGA